CAACGAAGUUUACACUUCGCAUCCCUCCCUUCAACUUCGCUUCUCUUUUCUAGGGUUUUCACUAGGGUUUCUGUCAUACCAUCUCACCUCAUGGGCAACAACAAGAAAGAACAGCUAAAUAUGUCCGAUCUCGGCGCCUCCCUACCGGCUGCCGCCGCCGCUCUUAGCGCGGAGGAUCGUGCUGGGCUUGUGAACGCUCUGAAGAAUAAGCUUCAAAAUCUGGCGGGACAACACUCGGAUAUUCUCGAGAGUUUGACUCCACCAGUUCGAAAGAGAGUUGAAGUUUUGAGAGAGAUCCAGAGCGAGCAUGAUGAACUGGAGGCGAAGUUUUUUGAAGAGAGAGCAGCAUUGGAAUUGAAAUACCAGAAGCUGUACGAGCCACUGUAUUCAAAGAGAUAUGACAUAGUGAAUGGUGUUGUUGAAGUUGGAGAGAAGGAUGAAGCUGCAACAGACCAGACAGAUGGUGAUGCUAAAGAAGAAAAGGGUGUCCCUGAUUUUUGGCUAACUGCAAUGAAGACCCAUGAAAUAUUGGCAGAGGAGAUCUCUGAACGAGAUGAAGAUGCUCUCAAAUAUUUGAAGGAUAUCAAGUGGUGUCGGAUUGAUGACCCUAAGGGUUUUAAGCUCGAGUUCUUUUUUGAUACCAAUCCAUAUUUUAAAAACACAGUUUUGACCAAAGUAUAUCAUAUGAUCGAUGAUGAUGAGCCUAUUUUAGAGAAGGCAAUAGGCACAACCAUUGAAUGGUUACCAGGGAAAUGCUUGACACAAAAGAUCUUAAAGAAGAAGCCAAAGAAGGGAUCGAAGAAUGCUAAACCUAUCACAAAGACCGAGAAUUGUGAAAGUUUCUUCAACUUCUUUAACCCUCCACAGGUUCCUGAGGAUGAGGAUGAUAUCGACGAAGAGGAGUAUGAGGCUAUAAUUGGCAGGCUGAAGAACUUCAGAAUCAAAUGGAGCAAGACUAUGACGUUGGGUCAACCAUACGCGACAAGAUUAUCCCACAUGCUGUUUCAUGGUUUACAGGUGAGGCUGUUCAGGAGGAUGAGUUUGAUGGUAUAGAAGAAGAUGAUGAUGAUGAGGAUGAUGAUGAUGAUGAAGAAAUUGAUGAUGAUGAAGACGAAGAAGAUGAUGAGGAUGACGAUGAGGAUGAUGAAGAUGAAGAGGAGGAGGAGAGCAAGAGCAAGAAGAAAACAAAGCCUUCUGCACGGAAGAAGGGUAGCAUCCUACAUGCAGCAGGUGGUGCUGGAGAACAGGGUGAGAGACCUCCUGAAUGCAAGCAACAAUAGCUUUUUAAGGCUGCAAGAGGUGUGAUUUGGUGUUCGUUGUCGAGGGUUUUGAAGUCUUGGUUUUUUUUCCUUGAGAAAUUUGGCCCGUUUUUGUGUUGGAUUCUUUGUGUAUCGGAGUUCUAUUUAUCUGUCAAAAUGUCCAGUUUUUGUUUAUUUAUAUAUGUUAGGUUACAAUCUUGAUUUGUGAAAAGGUACAAUUGAAAUAUGUACGUUUUCUCCCAUUUUCCCGGGUAUGUUUUUGAAGUGGUAAACGUUAUAUGUUCGAUGUCUUGCAUGAAUUCGUGCUUUUAUUC
This is an RNA transcript of Cynara cardunculus var. scolymus (artichoke), 1573 nucleotides long. It is a transcript of the gene named nucleosome assembly protein 1;4-like, with no coding region annotated. NCBI's taxonomy places the organism in Eukaryota, Viridiplantae, Streptophyta, Magnoliopsida, Asterales, Asteraceae. The record is from RefSeq and is a predicted model, not a curated record. The transcript has 12 exons.